Molecule: ribosomal RNA, 253 nt
Filed under: uncultured bacterium
Lineage: Bacteria
Description: partial 16S ribosomal RNA
Rfam family: Bacterial small subunit ribosomal RNA
Source: RNAcentral
UACAGAGGGUGCAAGCGUUGUUCGGAAUUACUGGGCGUAAAGGGCUCGUAGGCGGCCAACUAAGUCAGACGUGAAAUCCCCGGGCUCAACCCGGGAACUGCGUCCGAUACUGGCAGGCUUGAAUCCGGGAGAGGGAUGCGGAAUUCCAGGUGUAGCGGUGAAAUGCGUAGAUAUCUGGAGGAACACCGGUGGCGAAGGCGGCAUCCUGGACCGGCAUUGACGCUGAGGCGCGAAAGCCAGGGGAGCAAACGGG